Molecule: ribosomal RNA, 822 nt
Filed under: Cuscuta indecora
Lineage: Eukaryota; Viridiplantae; Streptophyta; Magnoliopsida; Solanales; Convolvulaceae
Description: eukaryotic LSU rRNA
Rfam family: Eukaryotic large subunit ribosomal RNA
Source: RNAcentral
GAUUGCCUUAUUAACGGCGAGUGAAUUGGCAAUAGCCCANCCUUAAAAUUGGAUGGUCUUGCCAUUCAAAUUGUAGUCUGGAGAAAUGUCCUUAGUGGCGGACUAGGCCCAAGUCCCCUGGAAAGGGGCGCCGGANAGGGUGAGAGCCCCGUUGGGCCUGGACCUUGCUGCACCGCAAGGCGUUGUCUUGGAGUCGGGUUGUUUGGGAAUGCAGCCCAAAUUGGUUGGUGAAUUCCGUCCAAGGCUAAAUAUUGGCGAGAGACCGAUAGCGAACAAGUACCGCGAGGGAAAGAUGAAAAGAACUUUGAAAAAAGAGUCAAAGAGUGCUUGAAAUUGUCGAGAGGGAAGCGCAUGGAGACUGACGGUAGGCUUGGGCCGAAUGCGGAACGGCGAUAAGCCGGUCCGUUGAUAUAGGCUCUAGGCUAGGAUCAACGAGAUUUUGGGUGGCGGUUGAAGCAUGGGCAGUUGAUGCGCUCAUGGGAUGCUGUCACUUGGAUUGUGGUAAGCAGGACGCGCAUUUGGUGUGCUUUGGCAUCUGCGUCCUUUGGUUGUUGCCUGGUGGGCUCUCCAUUCGACCCGUCUUGAAACACGGACCAAGGAGUCUUACAUGUGUGCGAGUCGGCGGGUUGAAAAACUCGCAAGGCCCAAAGAAGUUGAUUGGCGGGAUCCCUCUAGGGGGAGCACUGUCGACUGACCUUGAUCUUUUGAAAAGGGUUCGAGUGUGAGCAUACCUGUUGGGACCCGAAAGAUGGUGAACUAUGCCUGAGCGGGGUGAAGCCAGAGGAAACUCUGGUGGAGGCCCGUAGCGAUACUGACGUGCAA